AAGCCGUCGUCUCGUUCGACUACGGCACCGGCGCGUGCUCCGAAGCAAUCGACGAGUCCGCAUGCCCGUUGUACGAUCCGCUCCCGUUCGCCGUCGGCGACGCGGAUCCGAUGCUCCCGUUCGAUCCGAUGCGGUGGCGACCACACCAUGCAGCAGGACCAGAAGCUAGCGGCGGCGGCGGCGGCGCGGGAGCUGCUUAAGGCAGAGGCGCAAGGGGAGCGGAGGGCCAAGGUGGCGUUGCAGAAGCGGAAGGCCACGGGGGGAGCUGCUGCGGCGGCACCGGAGCAGAAGCGGAAGGCCAGGGGGGAGCUGCGGCGGCGCCGGAGCAGAUGAGUUCCGGCCGCGCCGGCCAUGCGCUGGAGCAGAACGAAGCAAGCGCAUCUUCAGCAUGUACUCCGAUUUCAUUGACUGACAGAAAUUUCUUCUUCAGUGGUGUCGGCAGCUUGUUCGGUAGCAGCCCUUUGUCUCAACCAUGGAUGCUAUCUUCAGAACCUGCAACAUGGUUGAUGUGUUGCUCUCGAGAAGAUGGUGAAAGGAAGGAGAUGUGCAUGUCAAUGAAGUCUGGAAUUCAAGUGUGAAAGUAAGAAGCUGUGCAUGUCAAUCAAGGCUGAAAUUCAAGUCUGAAAGUGCUUCAUCAAUAUAUAUGUUGCGGUUAUUGUGAUGCAUUUUGAACCAAUGGCUAUUGAUGUGCCAUCUGAUAUGAUAUAUUUUCACAUUGUGUGAACUGAAUUGAUCUAUUUUAAUGCUGUGUGAACUGAAUUGAUAUAUUCUACAUACUUAUUUUAAGAGUCAUACAAAUUAUUUGACUGUAGUGUGCAUUCUCUCAUGUAUGCAACAAAAUGGCUACAAAGAUCAAUUAUGCACUGGAUCACCAUGAGUUUGUGUGUCAA
Molecule: long non-coding RNA, 890 nt
Organism: Panicum virgatum (switchgrass)
Lineage: Eukaryota; Viridiplantae; Streptophyta; Magnoliopsida; Poales; Poaceae
Exons: 2
Source: RefSeq, a predicted model, not a curated record